UGAGCUAUGAUGGUGUCACCGCACUC
RNAcentral lists this non-coding RNA (26 nucleotides) under Homo sapiens (human). The record is from RNAcentral. Lineage: Eukaryota; Metazoa; Chordata; Mammalia; Primates; Hominidae.